GAGACACGGCCCAGACUCCUACGGGAGGCAGCAGUAGGGAAUCUUCCGCAAUGGACGAAAGUCUGACGGAGCAACGCCGCGUGAGUGAUGAAGGCUUUCGGGUCGUAAAACUCUGUUGUUAGGGAAGAACAAGUGCUAGUUGAAUAAGCUGGCACCUUGACGGUACCUAACCAGAAAGCCACGGCUAACUACGUGCCAGCAGCCGCGGUAAUACU
RNAcentral lists this ribosomal RNA (215 nucleotides) under Bacillus sp. B57. RNAcentral describes it as "partial 16S ribosomal RNA". It matches the Rfam family "Bacterial small subunit ribosomal RNA", at positions 321 to 527 of the family's 1533-position model. The record is from RNAcentral. Lineage: Bacteria; Bacillati; Bacillota; Bacilli; Caryophanales; Bacillaceae.